AAACCAACAGGGANUGCCUCAGUAACGGCGAGUGAAGCGGCAAAAGCUCAAAUUUGAAAUCUGGCACCUUCGGUGUCCGAGUUGUAAUUUGAAGAAGGUAACUUUGGAGUUGGCUCUUGUCUAUGUUCCUUGGAACAGGACGUCACAGAGGGUGAGAAUCCCGUGCGAUGAGAUGUCCAACUCUAUGUAAAGUGCUUUCGAAGAGUCGAGUUGUUUGGGAAUGCAGCUCUAAGUGGGUGGUAAAUUCCAUCUAAAGCUAAAUAUUGGCGAGAGACCGAUAGCGAACAAGUACAGUGAUGGAAAGAUGAAAAGAACUUUGAAAAGAGAGUGAAAAAGUACGUGAAAUUGUUGAAAGGGAAGGGCUUGAGAUCAGACUUGGUAUUUUGCAAGCCUUACCUUCGUGGUGGGGUCCCCUGCAGUUUACUGGGCCAGCAUCCGUUUGGAUGGUAGGAUAAUGACUUGGGAAUGUGGCUUUGCUUCGGUAAAGUGUUUAAGCCCUUGGUG
This 504-nucleotide ribosomal RNA is filed under the name Schwanniomyces pseudopolymorphus. RNAcentral's name for it is "eukaryotic LSU rRNA". It matches the Rfam family "Eukaryotic large subunit ribosomal RNA", at positions 62 to 571 of the family's 3401-position model. Lineage: Eukaryota; Fungi; Ascomycota; Pichiomycetes; Serinales; Debaryomycetaceae. The record is from RNAcentral.